Molecule: long non-coding RNA, 2516 nt
Filed under: Piliocolobus tephrosceles (Ugandan red Colobus)
Lineage: Eukaryota; Metazoa; Chordata; Mammalia; Primates; Cercopithecidae
Description: lncRNA (ENSPTEG00000003985.1)
Source: RNAcentral
UACUUCUUCAGUUGAACCUAUUUAUAACUUACCUAUAACUUAGCUGUAUUUUUUUAUUUUUUUUUUUUUAUUCAUUUAUUCAUUUAUUCUUUGUUAAAAUGUGUACAUUGCAAAUUGCAAAAAAAAAAAAAAAAAACACGCACACUUGAAUGCCCUCUGUGUUAAAAUGACAAAAUGUGUGUCAAUAGUAACCGUAAUUAUAAUUAUUAUAACAAUAAUAUUUAUGGAACGCGUGAAGACAGUUAAAAUAAAAAAGAACAAAAUUUUAAGUAUUCAUGAUAUAUAUAUUACAAAAGAGAUAAAAAAUAAAAGAAUAUUUUUUUUUUUAAAAAAAAAUAUUAUAUAUCAUAAGAACAGGCAAAAAAAUAAAUAUAAAAAUUUUAAACUCUACAAAGGACGUGGAACAACUUGUUUUUACGAAUGGGUGGAGAAUGAUGACAAUUUAGAAGUAAAAAUUCGAUUAUCACCAUAUAUAAGCCCAGAAGAUAUACAGUAUAAAUUAAAAUGUGAUUAUAUUUAUGCNNNNNNNNNNNNNNNNNNNNNNNNNNNNNNNNNNNNNNNNNNNNNNNNNNNNNNNNNNNNNNNNNNNNNNNNNNNNNNNNNNNNNNNNNNNNNNNNNNNNAAAAAAAAAAAAAAAAGGAAUAGAUGAAUGGGUAGGUAUAAUAGAAAAUGAACAAAUAUUACAUAUAAGUUAUGACAACCAAUCAUCAAACAAUAAUAAUAAUGAUAAUAUAAAUGAUUGUUCAUUAUAUAAUAGUAUGAAUAAAGAAAAUGAAUUAUUAUAUACUCAAGUUUUUGAACAUGUAAAUUAUGAUGAUUUAUAUAAUUUUUUAAUUAGUUGGGUAAAUACAAAAUCGAAUAAUUCAAACGAAUUUGGUAUUCCUUUACUGAAAUUAAAAACAACUUCUAUAACUAAUGACAGCGAAAUAGAAAUAUUAUUAUCUUCUUAUGGUUUAAAAUGGGAUGCCGAAGAUAGCAUAGUGUUAAAAUUAAGCCAUACUUCAAAACAUAUUGAAUUGAAUGUUUUAAGAGGUAACAUUGCUACUGGUAUAAAAGGGACAUAUGGUAAUAUGGUGGCUUAUGUUGUAAAGGCAUGUGAAAAUGCAAUUAUAAAAAAAUUACAGCAUGAUCUGAAAGGUGUUUUUUAUUUGAACCCUCAAUCUGCGAAAGCAACAGACUUAAUGCAUACACACUAUCCACACGGUAGUUAUAAUUAUACGAUACAUUCCAACGGAGGUGAGAAAAAGGACCAUAUAUCGCUACAUGACGAUAAUUGUAUAAGUACGAGCAACCAUAACAAUGAUAACAAUGGUAAUCAGAACAAAAUUAAUUUAAACACACACAACAAUAACCAUAAAAAUAACAAUAGUAAUAACAAUAACAGUAGCAAUAACAAUAACAGUAGUAAUAACAAUAACAGUAGCAAUAACAGUACCAAUAACAAUAACAGUAGCAAUAACAAUAAUAAUAAAACAAAAGGAAAUACACUCGAAACUACAGAAAUAAAAGAGAACUCAGAUUCAGAAAAACUAAUAAUAAAAGAAUUAAAAUUAAAUUCGAAUGUUAAAUUAAGUUGUGAUGAUAAAAGUAAAGAACCUGAAUUUAUGAAAAAUUGGCCUGAAGAAAAAAAAAUAGAAUUUAGAAGAAAUUCAGUUUUAGAAUUAAAAAAGAAUUUAGAAAUGGCGCAAGAAAAUAAACUAACAUUAAAAAUGGAAGAUUAUAUAAAUUAUAUGAAAACAUGUUUUGAUUUAACUGAAAAUGAAUCAAAACUAGUUUUAAAAAAAGGUAUAAAUAAAUAUGAAGAAAAAAAAAAUCGAGAAAACUUUUAUAAGUUUAUUGAAAUUGAAAACUUGACAGAUAGAAUUAAUAUGUAUCCUAUUGGUCAGAAUGAUAUAGAUGAGUAUUCAAAUGGGUAUGUGACACAACGUGAUGGUAAUAGUUGUGCAUCUCUUACAGAUACGGACACAGAUAAAGAUACGGACACAGAUAAAGAUACGGACACAGAUAAAGAUACGGACACAGAUAAAGAUACGGACACAGAUAAAGAUACCGAUACAGAUAAAGAUACCGAUACAGAUACAAAUACAAACACAGGUGACAACGACAUGAGUGAUCAUAGUAUACAUAAUAAUAGUAUUAACAACAACAUCAAGAGUGACAAUAUUAAUAAACAAUUUUAUAAUUGUUUAGAAGAAGAGUUGCUAAACAGUUAUAAUGAGAAGGUGGAGAAUAAUUUAUUUAGAACGUAUAUGAAUAGCGACGAGAAUGAAAAAAAAGAAAUGAAAGAAAAAUGGAAAAUAAAAGAAUAUAGAUUAAAUGUAUUAAUAAAAGAGUUAAAAUACGUAGAAGAUGAUGAUAUGAUACCCACUAUAUGUAACAAUUAUAGAGACGUGCUUUUAAGUGAAGAGUAUCCAUGUUUGUUAAGGAUAAGACUACUAGAGAAUGGAAUUAAAGACGAAGAAGAAAAACAAGCUUUACAAAUUAUUAAUUCAUUUGUUAUGAGUUUAUAUGAUGAU